Molecule: ribosomal RNA, 20 nt
Filed under: Sesbania rostrata
Lineage: Eukaryota; Viridiplantae; Streptophyta; Magnoliopsida; Fabales; Fabaceae
Also listed under: 88 other names
Description: partial large subunit ribosomal RNA
Source: RNAcentral
CGAGACCUCAGGUCAGGCGG